GAUGAACGCUGGCGGCGUGCCUAAUACAUGCAAGUCGAGCGAACAGACGAGGAGCUUGCUCCUCUGACGUUAGCGGCGGACGGGUGAGUAACACGUGGAUAACCUACCUAUAAGACUGGGAUAACUUCGGGAAACCGGAGCUAAUACCGGAUAAUAUAUUGAACCGCAUGGUUCAAUAGUGAAAGACGGUUUUGCUGUCACUUAUAGAUGGAUCCGCGCCGCAUUAGCUAGUUGGUAAGGUAACGGCUUACCAAGGCAACGAUGCGUAGCCGACCUGAGAGGGUGAUCGGCCACACUGGAACUGAGACACGAUCCAGACUCCUACGGGAGGCAGCAGUAGGGAAUCUUCCGCAAUGGGCGAAAGCCUGACGGAACAACGCCGCGUGAGUGAUGAAGGUCUUCGGAUCGUAAAACUCUGUUAUUAGGGAAGAACAAAUGUGUAAGUAACUAUGCACGUCUUGACGGUACCUAAUCAGAAAGCCACGGCUAACUACGUG
Molecule: ribosomal RNA, 497 nt
Filed under: uncultured bacterium
Lineage: Bacteria
Description: partial 16S ribosomal RNA
Rfam family: Bacterial small subunit ribosomal RNA
Source: RNAcentral